This 681-nucleotide ribosomal RNA is filed under the name uncultured nitrite-oxidizing bacterium. RNAcentral describes it as "bacterial SSU rRNA". It matches the Rfam family "Bacterial small subunit ribosomal RNA", at positions 21 to 696 of the family's 1533-position model. The record is from RNAcentral.
GGCUCAGGACGAACGCUGGCGGCGCGCCUAAUACAUGCAAGUCGAGCGAGAAGGUGUAGCAAUACACUUGUAAAGCGGCGAACGGGUGAGGAAUGCAUGGGUAACCUACCCUCGAGUGGGGAAUAACUAGCCGAAAGGUUAGCUAAUACCGCAUACGUUUCCGGGACUUCGGUACCGGAAAGAAAGCAAUACCGUGGGUAUUGCGCUCAUGGAUGGGCUCAUGUCCUAUCAGCUUGUUGGUGAGGUAACGGCUCACCAAGGCUUCGACGGGUAGCUGGUCUGAGAGGACGAUCAGCCACACUGGCACUGCGACACGGGCCAGACUCCUACGGGAGGCAGCAGUAAGGAAUAUUGCGCAAUGGACGAAAGUCUGACGCAGCGACGCCGCGUGGGGGAUGAAGGUCUUCGGAUUGUAAACCCCUUUCGGGAGGGAAGAUGGAGUGGGUAACCACUUGGACGGUACCUCCAGAAGCAGCCACGGCUAACUUCGUGCCAGCAGCCGCGGUAAUACGAAGGUGGCAAGCGUUGUUCGGAUUCACUGGGCGUACAGGGAGCGUAGGCGGUUGGGUAAGCCCUCCGUGAAAUCUCCGGGCCUAACCCGGAAAGUGCAGAGGGGGCUGCUCAGCUAGAGGAUGGGAGAGGAGCGCGGAAUUCCCGGUGUAGCGGUGAAAUGCGUAGAGA